This 460-nucleotide ribosomal RNA is filed under the name uncultured bacterium. Its description in RNAcentral is "partial 16S ribosomal RNA". It matches the Rfam family "Bacterial small subunit ribosomal RNA", at positions 338 to 795 of the family's 1533-position model. The record is from RNAcentral.
CCUACGGGAGGCAGCAGUGAGGAAUAUUGGUCAAUGGACGAGAGUCUGAACCAGCCAAGUAGCGUGAAGGAUGACUGCCCUAUGGGUUGUAAACUUCUUUUAUAUGGGAAUAAAACGUUCCACGUGUGGGAUUUUGUAUGUACCAUAUGAAUAAGGAUCGGCUAACUCCGUGCCAGCAGCCGCGGUAAUACGGAGGAUCCGAGCGUUAUACGGAUUUAUUGGGUUUAAAGGGAGCGUAGGUGGAUUGUUAAGUCAGUUGUGAAAGUUUGCGGCUCAACCGUAAAAUUGCAGUUGAAACUGGCAGUCUUGAGUACAGUAGAGGUGGGCGGAAUUCGUGGUGUAGCGGUGAAAUGCUUAGAUAUCACGAAGAACUCCGAUUGCGAAGGCAGUUCACUGGACUGCAACUGACACUGAGGCUCGAAAGUGUGGGUAUCAAACAGGAUUAGAUACCCGAGUAGUC